AUUGAACGCUGGCGGCAUGCCUUACACAUGCAAGUCGAACGGCAGCACGGGAGCAAUCCUGGUGGCGAGUGGCGAACGGGUGAGUAAUACAUCGGAACGUGCCCAAUCGUGGGGGAUAACGCAGCGAAAGCUGUGCUAAUACCGCAUACGAUCUACGGAUGAAAGCAGGGGAUCGCAAGACCUUGCGCGAAUGGAGCGGCCGAUGGGCAGAUUAGGUAGUUGGGGAGGAAAAGGCUCACCAAGCCGUCGAUCUUGUAGCUGGUCUGGAGAGGACGACCAGCCACACUGGGGACUGAGACACGGGCCCAGACUCCUACGGGAGGCAGCAGGGGGGGGAAUUUUUGGACAAUGGGGCGAAAGCCUUGAUCCAGCCCAUGCCGCGUGGCAGGGAUGAAGGGCCUUUCGGGGUUGUAAACUGCUUUUUGUACGGAACGAAAAACGGCCCUUUUUCUAAUAAAAGAGGGGUUAAUGACGGGUCCCGUAAGAAUAAAGCCCCCGGCUAACUACGGGGCAAGAGGGCCGGGGGGAAAAACGUAGGGGGGCAAGCCUUAAUUCGGAAUUUCUUGGGCGGUAAAAGGGGGCGCAGGGGGUUAUUUUAGAAAGUUGUUGAAAACCCCCGGGUUCAACCCGGGGAACCUCCAUCUUGUGACCUCCAUUGGCUAGGGGACGGUAGAGGGGGAAGGGAAUUCCCCCGUGUAGCAGUUAAAUUCCUAAGAUAUUCCGGGGGAACACCCGAUGGGCGAAAGGCGAUCCCCUGGACCUUGUCUUGACGCUCAUGCACGAAAAGCGUGGGGGAGGCAACAAGGAUUAUGAUACCCUUGUAGUCCAAAGGUCGAAUUCUCACAUUUGGGCUGUAGUCCCUGGGGGGAUCCCCCUAUGUUCUUAGAGGCGGGCCGCCACCGCGGGGAGCUUCUCAAAUAUGCCCUAAUAGUGAGGUCGUAAUAACGCGCGCCUCACUCGGCCGUGCUUUUUUAAAAAAUCG
This 982-nucleotide ribosomal RNA is filed under the name Parahaemophilus parainfluenzae. Its description in RNAcentral is "Haemophilus parainfluenzae partial 16S ribosomal RNA". The stretch from base 1 to 880 matches the Rfam family "Bacterial small subunit ribosomal RNA". Lineage: Bacteria; Pseudomonadati; Pseudomonadota; Gammaproteobacteria; Pasteurellales; Pasteurellaceae. The record is from RNAcentral.